CAGUCGCCGCGGGAAUACAGAGGAUGCAAGCGUUAUCCGGAAUGAUUGGGUGUAAAGCGUCUGUAGGUGGCUUUUCAAGUCCGCCAUCAAAUCCCUGGGCUCAACCCUGGACAGGCAGUGGAAACUACCAAGCUGGAGUACGGUAGGGGCAGAGGGAAUUUCCGGUGGAGAGGUGAAAUGCGUUGAGAUUGGAAAGAACACCAACGGUGAAAGCGCUCUGCUGGGCCGACACUGACACUGAGAGACGAAAUCUAGGGGAGCAAAUGGGAUUAGAUACCCCCGUAGUCCCUGUCUCUUAUAC
Molecule: ribosomal RNA, 301 nt
Filed under: uncultured bacterium
Lineage: Bacteria
Description: partial 16S ribosomal RNA
Rfam family: Bacterial small subunit ribosomal RNA
Source: RNAcentral